UGUGCUUUCGCUUGUUUUUGUUCUGUUUUGUGGACAAAGACUUAGACAAGCGCAGAAAUCAAAUCCUCUUUUGCAGCUCAGAACUCAUAGCUCAGUAUGAGUUUUGAUGCGUAUUAGAAGGAACAAG
Molecule: small nucleolar RNA, 127 nt
Organism: Hyaena hyaena (striped hyena)
Lineage: Eukaryota; Metazoa; Chordata; Mammalia; Carnivora; Hyaenidae
Product: small nucleolar RNA SNORA40
Exons: 1
Source: RefSeq, a predicted model, not a curated record